UGGGGAAUAUUGCACAAUGGGGGAAACCCUGAUGCAGCGACGCCGCGUGAACGAAGAAGGUAUUUGUAUCGUAAAGUUCUGUCCUAUGGGAAGAUAAUGACAGUACCAUAGAAGAAAGCUCCGGCUAAAUACGUGCCAGCAGCCGCGGUAAUACGUAUGGAGCGAGCGUUGUCCGGAAUUAUUGGGGGUAAAGGGUACGCAGGCGGUUUAAUAAGUCGAAUGUUAAAGAUCGGGGCUCAACCCCGCAAAGCAUUGGAAACUGAUAAACUUGAGUAGUGGAGAGGAAAGUGGAAUUCCUAGUGUAGUGGUGAAAUACGUAGAUAUUAGGAGGAAUACCAGUAGCGAAGGCGACUUUCUGGACACAAACUGACGCUGAGGUACGAAAGCGUGGGGAGCAAACAGG
This 403-nucleotide ribosomal RNA is filed under the name bacterium. RNAcentral's name for it is "partial 16S ribosomal RNA". It matches the Rfam family "Bacterial small subunit ribosomal RNA", at positions 355 to 776 of the family's 1533-position model. The record is from RNAcentral.